UUAUUGAUGUUAUAAUGUCAAUCUCUCUCUCUUAAUUCUACAGUCUCUAGUACAUAUGCCAGUUCUGGAAAGUCACAGAGGCUGGAACAUUCCCUGGUGGGGCGUGGUAGAGGCAGGGCAUAGCUGACAAUGCACAGCAAAGACUUCAUGACAGAACACUCAGGUGUAUACAGAACUGGACCUGAAAAUGUGAGAAUGCAAGAGUUAUUGGAGUGGAUAUAUACGCUGGAUUGCUUUCUACCAUAUUCUCUAGUACAUAUGCCAGUUCUGGAAAGUCACAGAGGCUGGAACAUUCCCUGGUGGGGCGUGGUAGAGGCAGGGCAUAGCUGACAAUGCACAGCAAAGACUUCAUGACAGAACACUCAGGUGUAUACAGAACUGGACCUGAAAAUGUGAGAAUGCAAGAGUUAUUGGAGUGGAUAUAUACGCUGGAUUGCUUUCUACCAUAUU
Long non-coding RNA from Xenopus laevis (African clawed frog), 450 nucleotides. RefSeq lists it as uncharacterized. The transcript has 4 exons. NCBI's taxonomy places the organism in Eukaryota, Metazoa, Chordata, Amphibia, Anura, Pipidae. The record is from RefSeq and is a predicted model, not a curated record.